Molecule: ribosomal RNA, 491 nt
Filed under: uncultured bacterium
Lineage: Bacteria
Description: partial 16S ribosomal RNA
Rfam family: Bacterial small subunit ribosomal RNA
Source: RNAcentral
GGAUGAACGCUAGCUACAGGCUUAACACAUGCAAGUCGCGGGGCAGCAUGGGGGUUGCUUGCAAUCCCCGAUGGCGACCGGCGCACGGGUGAGUAACGCGUAUCCAACCUGCCCUUCACCACGGGAUAACCCGGCGAAAGUCGGACUAAUACCGUAUGUUGUCCAUUGACGGCAUCCGAUUUGGACGAAAGGCUUGGCGGUGAGGGAUGGGGAUGCGUCCGAUUAGCCAGACGGCGGGGUAACGGCCCACCGUGGCUACGAUCGGUAGGGGUUCUGAGAGGAAGGUCCCCCACACUGGAACUGAGACACGGUCCAGACUCCUACGGGAGGCAGCAGUGAGGAAUAUUGGUCAAUGGGCGUAAGCCUGAACCAGCCAAGUAGCGUGCAGGAUGACGGCCCUAUGGGUUGUAAACUGCUUUUAUGCGGGGAUAAAGUGGCCCACGUGUGGGCUUUUGCAGGUACCGCAUGAAUAAGGACCGGCUAAUUCCGUG